GAUGAACGCUGGCGGCGUGCCUAAUACAUGCAAGUCGAGCGAACGGAUGAGAAGCUUGCUUCUCUGAUGUUAGCGGCGGACGGGUGAGUAACACGUGGAUAACCUACCUAUAAGACUGGGAUAACUUCGGGAAACCGGAGCUAAUACCGGAUAAUAUUUUGAACCGCAUGGUUCAAAAGUGAAAGACGGUCUUGCUGUCACUUAUAGAUGGAUCCGCGCUGCAUUAGCUAGUUGGUAAGGUAACGGCUUACCAAGGCAACGAUGCAUAGCCGACCUGAGAGGGUGAUCGGCCACACUGGAACUGAGACACGGUCCAGACUCCUACGGGAGGCAGCAGUAGGGAAUCUUCCGCAAUGGGCGAAAGCCUGACGGAGCAACGCCGCGUGAGUGGUGAAGGUCUUCGGAUCGUAAAACUCUGUUAUUAGGGAAGAACAUAUGUGUAAGUAACUGUGCACAUCUUGACGGUACCUAAUCAGAAAGCCACGGCUAACUACGUG
This 497-nucleotide ribosomal RNA is filed under the name uncultured bacterium. RNAcentral describes it as "partial 16S ribosomal RNA". It matches the Rfam family "Bacterial small subunit ribosomal RNA", at positions 28 to 507 of the family's 1533-position model. The record is from RNAcentral.